UAACGACUCUCGGCAACGGAUAUCUCGGCUCUCGCAUCGAUGAAGAACGUAGCGAACUGCGAUACUUGGUGUGAAUUGCAGAAUCCCGUGAACCAUCGAGUCUUUGAACGCAAGUUGCGCCCGAAUCCUUUGGUGAGGGCACGUUUGCCUGGGUGUCA
This 158-nucleotide ribosomal RNA is filed under the name Calyptranthes concinna. RNAcentral describes it as "5.8S ribosomal RNA". It matches the Rfam family "5.8S ribosomal RNA". Rfam says of the family: 5.8S ribosomal RNA (5.8S rRNA) is a component of the large subunit of the eukaryotic ribosome. It is transcribed by RNA polymerase I as part of the 45S precursor that also contains 18S and 28S rRNA. The record is from RNAcentral. Lineage: Eukaryota; Viridiplantae; Streptophyta; Magnoliopsida; Myrtales; Myrtaceae. RNAcentral also lists the same sequence under 1 other name.